CUCAACUACAUCUUCUGCCCGAAGGGUCUGUGUACUGGGACCUCUGGAUAGGCUGCGAAGCUCCUCAAGGUAUAUGCAGAACUUGUGACUGUAUGGAGAGGUUUUGUAGAUUCUAUCAGAGAUCAGAAGGAAGUUGCAUUGCUGAAAAGCUGUAGCGGGGGGAUCAGCUCUGUCCUGGGAGGAGUGGAGAGGAGGAGGCGUGGAGGGGCAGCAGAGCCAAUGGCUGAAGAGCACGGACUCGGGCAGCAGACUCCAUGGAUUUUGAAACUUGAUUGGAUCAUUUACUGU
Chinchilla lanigera (long-tailed chinchilla) is the source of this 288-nucleotide long non-coding RNA. RefSeq lists it as uncharacterized. The transcript is spliced from 3 exons. NCBI's taxonomy places the organism in Eukaryota, Metazoa, Chordata, Mammalia, Rodentia, Chinchillidae. The record is from RefSeq and is a predicted model, not a curated record.